ACGCUGGCGGCGUGCCUAACACAUGCAAGUCGAACGGGACUCAGCCCUUCGGGACUGAGUUUAGUGGCGAACGGGUGAGUAACGCGUGAGGAACCUGCCUUUCAGUGGGGGACAACAGUUGGAAACGACUGCUAAUACCGCAUAAUGCUUUUUGAUGGCAUCAUUGAAAAGCCAAAGAUUUAUUGCUGAAAGAUGGCCUCGCGUCUGAUUAGCUAGUUGGUGGGGUAACGGCCCACCAAGGCGACGAUCAGUAGCCGGUCUGAGAGGAUGAACGGCCACAUUGGGGCUGAGAUACGGCCCAGACUCCUACGGGAGGCAGCAGUGGGGAAUAUUGGGCAAUGGGCGCAAGCCUGACCCAGCAACGCCGCGUGAAGGAAGAAGGCUUUCGGGUUGUAAACUUCUUUUGUCAGGGACGAGUAGAAGACGGUACCUGACGAAUAAGCCACGGCUAACUACGUG
This 459-nucleotide ribosomal RNA is filed under the name uncultured bacterium. RNAcentral's name for it is "bacterial SSU rRNA". It matches the Rfam family "Bacterial small subunit ribosomal RNA", at positions 33 to 507 of the family's 1533-position model. The record is from RNAcentral.